GGAAGGUUGGCAGAGUGGACAAUUGCACCGGUCUCGAAAACCGGAGCCUUACAGGCUGCGAGGGUUCGAAUCCCUCACCUUCCGCCA
Molecule: transfer RNA, 87 nt
Filed under: Candidatus Pacebacteria bacterium CG10_big_fil_rev_8_21_14_0_10_56_10
Lineage: Bacteria; Bacillati; Minisyncoccota
Description: tRNA-Ser
Rfam family: tRNA
About the family: Transfer RNA (tRNA) molecules are approximately 80 nucleotides in length.
Source: RNAcentral